RNAcentral lists this ribosomal RNA (689 nucleotides) under Psychrobacter phenylpyruvicus. RNAcentral describes it as "bacterial SSU rRNA". It matches the Rfam family "Bacterial small subunit ribosomal RNA", at positions 377 to 1057 of the family's 1533-position model. The record is from RNAcentral. Lineage: Bacteria; Pseudomonadati; Pseudomonadota; Gammaproteobacteria; Moraxellales; Moraxellaceae.
GCAACCCUGAUCCAGCCAUGCCGCGUGUGUGAAGAAGGCCUUUUGGUUGUAAAGCACUUUAAGCAGUGAAGAAGACUCUAUGGUUAAUACCCAUAGACGAUGACAUUAGCUGCAGAAUAAGCACCGGCUAACCUCUGUGCCAGCAGCCGCGGUAAUACAGAGGGUGCAAGCGUUAAUCGGAAUUACUGGGCGUAAAGCGAGCGUAGGUGGCUUGAUAAGUCAGAUGUGAAAUCCCCGGGCUUAACCUGGGAACUGCAUCUGAUACUGUUAGGCUAGAGUAGGUGAGAGGGAGGUAGAAUUUCAGGUGUAGCGGUGAAAUGCGUAGAGAUCUGAAGGAAUACCGAUGGCGAAGGCAGCCUCCUGGCAUCAUACUGACACUGAGGUUCGAAAGCGUGGGUAGCAAACAGGAUUAGAUACCCUGGUAGUCCACGCCGUAAACGAUGUCUACUAGUCGUUGGGGAACUUGAUUCCUUAGUGACGCAGCUAACGCAAUAAGUAGACCGCCUGGGGAGUACGGCCGCAAGGUUAAAACUCAAAUGAAUUGACGGGGGCCCGCACAAGCGGUGGAGCAUGUGGUUUAAUUCGAUGCAACGCGAAGAACCUUACCUGGUCUUGACAUAUCUAGAAUCCUGCAGAGAUGCGGGAGUGCCUUCGGGAAUUAGAAUACAGGUGCUGCAUGGCUGUCGUCA